RNAcentral lists this ribosomal RNA (459 nucleotides) under uncultured bacterium. RNAcentral describes it as "partial 16S ribosomal RNA". It matches the Rfam family "Bacterial small subunit ribosomal RNA", at positions 338 to 795 of the family's 1533-position model. The record is from RNAcentral.
CCUACGGGUGGCUGCAGUGAGGAAUAUUGGUCAAUGGGCGGGAGCCUGAACCAGCCAAGCCGCGUGAAGGAAGAAGGCGCCAAGCGUCGUAAACUUCUUUUGUCGGGGAACAAAGGGCGCCACGUGUGGCGUUGUGAGUGUACCCGAAGAACAAGCAUCGGCUAACUCCGUGCCAGCAGCCGCGGUAAGACGGAGGAUGCGAGCGUUAUCCGGAUUUAUUGGGUUUAAAGGGUGCGUGGGCGGUCCGGAAAGUCAGCGGUAAAAGCCCGGGGCUCAACCCCGGCGCGCCGUUGAAACUGUGGGAAUAGAGACGGCGAGAAGUAAGCGGAAGGCGCGGUGUAGCGGUGAAAUGCAUAGAUAUCGCGCAGAACUCCGAUUGCGAAGGCAGCGUACCGGCGCCGGACUGACGCUGAGGCACGAAAGCGUGGGUAUCGAACAGGAUUAGAUACCCGGGUAGUC